UGGGGAAUAUUGGACAAUGGGCGAAAGCCUGAUCCAGCCAUGCCGCGUGUGUGAAGAAGGUCUUCGGAUUGUAAAGCACUUUAAGUUGGGAGGAAGGGCAGUAAGCGAAUACCUUGCUGUUUUGACGUUACCGACAGAAUAAGCAUCGGCUAACUCUGUGCCAGCAGCCGCGGUAAUACAGAGGGUGCAAGCGUUAAUCGGAAUUACUGGGCGUAAAUCGCGCGUAGGUGGUUCGUUAAGUUGAAUGUGAAAGCCCCGGGCUCAACCAGAGAACUGCAUCCAAAAAUGGCAAGCUAGAAGAGGGGAGAGGGUGAUGGAAUUUCAUGUGUAGCGGUGAAAUGCGUAGAAAUAGGAAGGAAAACCAGUGGCGAAGGAGACCAACUGGGCUCAUACUGACACUGGGGUGCGAAAGCGUGGGGAGCAAACAGG
Molecule: ribosomal RNA, 429 nt
Filed under: Pseudomonadota bacterium
Lineage: Bacteria; Pseudomonadati; Pseudomonadota
Description: Proteobacteria bacterium partial 16S ribosomal RNA
Rfam family: Bacterial small subunit ribosomal RNA
Source: RNAcentral